RNAcentral lists this long non-coding RNA (279 nucleotides) under Cavia porcellus (domestic guinea pig). Its description in RNAcentral is "lncRNA (ENSCPOG00000035140.1)". The record is from RNAcentral. Lineage: Eukaryota; Metazoa; Chordata; Mammalia; Rodentia; Caviidae.
GACAACUGUGGUGGACUGAAAAUUGAUAGUCAAUUUGUAGCCCUAGCUGAAUUCAAUCAGCAUGGUGCUGAGUGGAUCACUCACCUGCAGACUGCUGCCAGCACAAAAGGGAGGACUGGAGAGGAAGAAACCUUGAUUACAACAAUAUUCUUGUCUCAUUCCUGAUUUUAGAGGGAAAGUUUUGUUCAUUUCACAUGCCGUUGGCGGUUGGUUUGUCAUAAGUGACCUUUAUCAGAUUGAGGUAAAGAGCAUCUUUUCCAAUUUUAUCUUUUUUUUUUU